UUAAUUUAUUACUGUAUUUUUGGUUCCCUUCCUAAUUUCCCAGAUUGAAUCAUUCACUAUGAGUUUUAAGAAUGGCUGAUCAAAUGGAGAUGCUCAGCUCUAAGUAAAGCAGACCUUAUGAUGGAGAAGAUAUGUAGGACAACUUGCUGGCACGAUAUUGGGCAUAGCUGGUGCAGCAUAGUAGUGAAAUUCCUUGGCUGAGGCAUUUAAAAAAUGGACAUUGUUGCAAUGUUAUGUGCUGGUGGUCCCUGGUCCUUUACAACCUUGAGAAAGGCUGAGUAAUGAUACAUAAGAAAUUUAUAGCCUCUUUAUUUCUUCUGAGGUUAAUGAAAGUUGCAUUAAACAUGAUGGACACCGCCCACAAUGACAUUGAAUGUGUGAUGAACUUGCCAUCUCAUAAGUGGGACAAGACCAGACAGUUUGUCGGCGAGAUCAGCGAUGUGAUUCAGGCAAAUUAAGGGUGCAAUGAACCAUCUGGAAAUGUUCAGUUCUCAAGUGUACUGACAAGCAAAUAGUUACACUGACAUAAGAUUUUGUUUCAGAUUCUGUAUGACAACGAUGCAAGGAAGUUCAAGUUCUGGAUACACAUCACAGGUGCCCCUUGGCUGCCUGUGGGUGUUCGUGAUGUGGGAGCAGGGUGAGCUCCACACAUAGGUCUAUAUUGUGAACCAAAACCGAGUGACACGGGCCUUAAAAAGAAGCUGAGUGACCUCUGCGACGAGGUGCGGUUGCACUGGAAGAAUGCCAUCAAGUAUGGCUUAUUUCCCAACUCAAGAUACCUCUGUCACAAAAAAAGGGAAUUCAAAUAGCUCAGCUUAAUAUUGGUUCCAUUUUGCACAGGGUAAAGCAGUGAGGAGACUGUCGUUGAGCUCAACACAAGGAGUGGACAAGCUGAAGAAUGAGCCUUGGUUUCCAAGCUUAUGGAGAAGAACGUUGUUAGGCUUCUUGGUGUCUGCUUGG
Long non-coding RNA from Lolium rigidum, 960 nucleotides. RefSeq lists it as uncharacterized. The record is from RefSeq and is a predicted model, not a curated record. The transcript is spliced from 3 exons. Lineage: Eukaryota; Viridiplantae; Streptophyta; Magnoliopsida; Poales; Poaceae.